This 72-nucleotide transfer RNA is filed under the name Geotrichum reessii. RNAcentral describes it as "Galactomyces reessii tRNA-Ala". It matches the Rfam family "tRNA". Rfam says of the family: Transfer RNA (tRNA) molecules are approximately 80 nucleotides in length. RNAcentral also lists the same sequence under 2 other names. The record is from RNAcentral. Lineage: Eukaryota; Fungi; Ascomycota; Dipodascomycetes; Dipodascales; Dipodascaceae.
GGGAUUAUAGUUUAAUUGGUAAAACAUAAAUUUUGCAUAUUUAUAAAAUGGGUUCAAUUCCCAUUGAUUCCA